RNAcentral lists this unclassified non-coding RNA (13898 nucleotides) under Haliotis rufescens (red abalone). RNAcentral describes it as "uncharacterized LOC125377995, transcript variant X1". Lineage: Eukaryota; Metazoa; Mollusca; Gastropoda; Lepetellida; Haliotidae. The record is from RNAcentral.
CGAAUGUUGCAGUUGUUGGGAUAUCCAACUGGGCACUUGAUGCAGCAAAGAUGAAUAGAGCUAUCCAUCUAUCUAGGCCGGAUAUGGAUGCAGAUGAACUCGUUCAGACGGGAUUGUCUAUUAGUGAAGCAACUCUUGAAGAUGGUGACGAAGAAGGGAGUCUAUUACAUCUGAAUGAUAACAACAGCAGCAAUCAAAUAGAUGAAGCACUGAUAAGAGCAAUAGCUGAGGCCUAUUCCAAAUAUGUCAAUGACCAGCGUUUCAAAAACUUUCAUGGUCUUCGAGACUUCUACUCUCUUGUGAAGUAUGUGUCUCGAAAAUUCAAGUCAAUGACAGUAGAACACUUUGAAGAUGACCAACGUAAAGUUGAUCUGGUUGUGAGAGGCUUACUCCGCAACUUUGGAGGUCUUUCAUCGGAAGUUAAUUCUGUUAUAUCUGUGUUCAAAGAGCAUCUAGGUGUGAUACUAACUGAUGGCACUGUUUCUGAUGAACUUGUGUUACCCUCCACCCUUGAGCUGGUACAGGAAAACAUUGAAGACAGAUCAGCACGUCACUUACUUCUGGUGACAAGAGGGGAGUCAGCUCUGAGCAUUGUUGAAGAUUUACUCAGGCAAAAUGAACGUCAGACUGUCACAAUUUUAGGAAGCCAUUUUGAUGAAGAUCUCAAUGAUGACUACAGCUAUCGCAUUCUUAGCAAAAUAAUACUUUGCAUGGAACAGGGAGUUGUUUUGAUAUUGAAAGACCUUGAUAGCAUUUAUGGGAGCUUGUAUGACAUGUUGAACCAAAACUACUCAAAAGUUGGCAUAAAGAAAACAUGCAGAGUAGCGCAUGGAGCCUAUAGUAACCCAGUGUGUCAUGUUCAUGAUGAUUUCCGGUGCAUUGUUUUGGUUGAGGAAAACAAACUUGACUUGUCAGAUCCACCAUUUCUGAACAGAUUUGAAAAACAGUGUAUCCGACUUUCAGAUAUGUUGACAGCUAGUGAGAAAAAAAUUGCUGAAGAAUUGGAGGCAUGGAUGAUUAGUGUCUCAAAGAUUCCAGGGCAUAAAUUCAGAAGAAAUGAUAUGAUACCUUUUGAUAACCCUGACUUGAUUGCAUCUUUGGUCCAUUAUUAUUUUUCUCAUUGCAAUACAAACAUUGAACAUGAAAGCUUAGUUGAGAAUUGUAAGAUGUUUCUGAUAAAAACAUGCACACCAGAGGGGAUAGUUCGCCUUCAACUAAGUGAAAGGCAUAGUGAAGAACCCUUAGAAGUAAAGAAAUGGCAGAACUAUUACUACAAGUUGCCUAUACAUGGGGGACUUCAGAAAUUUGUUGACUAUGCUCUUACUGAUUCUGAAACAACCAUACAGAAGGGCAAGGAAAUGAUUUUCAGUCACACCAAUAUUCAUACCAAUAUUCAGUCAUGUCUGGAUGUGUCUUCUGAAGAGUGCCAAGUUGAGAAAUUGAGCUCAUUCAAGUCUGAGAAACAGUUGUCAUCCAGGCUUCAUGCAUUUUGGUGUCUCCCUGGAAAGAAAUUUCUUAUUAUUCAAUGCUUAACAAGCUAUGAUCAAGACAACAUUCUUUUGAUGAAAUCACUAAUUGAGAAAGAACAGGGUGAAUACAAAUCUGAGAAUGAACCAGGUCAAGAGAAAUAUGUGUUUAUUAUCCUUCAUAUGGACAGAAAUGAUUCUGAUGAAUCAUUUAAUCUUUUGAAUUACCUAAGUGGAUGGAAUUUGACAGUUGUUGAUACUCUUGAGCCCAAGAAAAUUUCCUUGACUGACUUUCUAGUUAAACAAAAACUGGAAAUUGUCCAUGAACUGAAGCAAAUGGUACCAUUAGCUCACUAUCUCUUUUGGUCAUUCACCUUGAUAAAAUACCACAGCUAUGCCAGGAGUUUGACAAGUCUUAAAAGCCUGGUUGAAAACAUUUCUACCAAUUCACAUCUCAUGGCAUUCAUAGAGGGAGAAGUGUUUUCUAUUCUUGAAACACAAUUGAACAAGUCUGAAUUAAAGAACUGGCAGAUCAAUGUGGCAUGUGAUCAGUUGAAACUUUACACCUGUCUUACAUUACAUGUAGCACUUGAGAAUGACAUGAUGGAAUGUAUGAAAUAUCCUCUGGCUGCAAUGGUCUAUAAACUUGAGGCAGCAAAUACUUGGGAUUGUGUUGUUGGACAAGUGGAGUUUCAACAAAAGACUGAAUGCUGGAGGCAGCUUGCUAAAACUUCAUCAGUUUUAGACAUUAGUGAUGUGCCUCACCCACAAGGACCAGAGUCUUACCCAAUUAUGGAUCCAGCUUUGUUUCUUUUGUGUCCUUUUAGCAAAAUGUUCAUUGAAAGAAUUGAAAGCCUAAGAGGAUUGUGCACAGAAACUAUUGCAAUGGAAUACCCAGGCAUGGAAAUCGAUGAGAUUGAAGAAAAUCUCACAAAUGAAUUCAGUAGCAGACUUCAAGACCAAGUUUAUGACAUGGCAAGUGAAUUGUUUGAAUAUUCAUAUGGAGAACAACAUUUCAGUGAUUAUCUCCAUGACUUUGUAAGCAUAAUGUAUUCAAAUGUCAACAUUGGUAUGGAGGAAAGUCUAAAAGUCAAGGUUGUAGAAUGGUCAUUUUUAAUGAGAUUUCAAAUAGAAGGAUUACCAUUUGAAGCUGCAGUGACAAGACUGCAUGUUACAAAUUGGCUUCAUUUUGACAAAAUAGAAGCAGAAUUGAGACUUGUAGAUGCUUGUUUAAGUAUUAGUAAAGUGAGUUUGGAUGACAUCCUUGGAAGUUCAAAGCCAGUGCACAUGUUGUGCUUUAGUUCAACUGCAGAUGAACAUUCAUCACCAGAAACCCAAGUUCACAUGACUGACACAAAAGGGAAAUCAAUUGGUGACUUGAAAGUCAUAGAAGCCAUAGACAUGGAUAUGAAAGGUCAAGUUGGUACAUAUCAAGACAUUAAAGAAGAUCAGGAUGUUGAAGACAUUGGAAACGUAAUGAUCACUGAAAGUUGCUCUACAAAUGUCAAACCACAGUUUGAUGCUGUCAGUACUGAACAGCAUCAUACUGUUUCACAUGAAACACAGGAAUUUGAACUGGACGCCAGUACCAAUUUGGUUACAUUUGCUUGUCAGAAACUAAUUCCUACAGAAAAUCUGCUUGAGAACUCUACUUUUCAGUCAUGGGUAAACGGAGUCAGCCUUGUUUUGUCUUUGGCAAGUGAAGUGUCAUUAGAAUCCAAAGUAUUUCAGUCAUUACGGUUGUGUAAUGAAUUUGCAUUGCUUGUGUCAGUUCCACACAACACGGACAGAAGAUAUCUCUCUGAGAUAGGGCAUGCACUUGAAUCAAACCAGGUUGAAAGUGAUGUCAUAUUCAAAAAAAUUCUUCAGAUCAUAAACAAAGUGAAUGAAGAGAAGUUAGUUCCUGAAGAAGCACUACAACAUUUCUUUGCUUGUUACAUAAGCAUAUGUCUUGCUGCUGAUCCGGAAACAUCAGUAGUAGCUUUGGGACUUGAGGUACUUAAAGAUUUGACAAUUUUUCAAAGCAGCUUAAACUAUUUUGGUCCAACACUUUGUCAGAUUUUGAUGAUAGAAAUGGAAGAAUGUGAUUUGAUAAAUGAUGACCUUCUUGAAUACCCUGUUCUAAGAAAUCUAGACAAUUGCAUUCUAGCAUUCCAAGAGAAAGGUGAACCAGACUCACAGUUAGCAUGUCUUUGCAUAGAUGUCAUUGAGACACAUUUUACGCAAGAGAUAUUGGACUUUGAUGAUGAAAACCUAGAUACCAUGUUAAUGUGUGAUGAAAUUUACAGAUCUGAGGGGUUUUCACUGAAACACCUUAUAUCUUUGGCAUAUUUGAAAACCUGUCUAUCAAUUUUAGCAUCUGAUAUGAGACAGAAAGACACUGUUGAAAUACAUAUAUUACAAAAGGUGAAUGGCAUCCUACAGUUGGAUUCAGAUACCAGUGGAUCAACCAGAGAUAUCAGAACUAAAGCCUUGCAGAACUAUUUUGUCAAGGUACUUUCACAAAAUGAUGGGUUGAAAACAUUUGAGGAUAUUCUGAGUCAUCAUUCACAACAUUUGCCAUUCACAAAAGAAGUGAAAAUAGCAGAUGAAGAUAGACUGGUAGCACUUGAACUAUGCCCAAUGCAGAUGACAUGGUCUGAUAUCUAUUUUUCUGUUUCUGAUGGUUAUUAUGCAUUACCUAAGGACAACAGCAAAGUGAAAAGUGUAUUUAAAGCUGCCAGAACAAACCCUCAGUUCACCUACUGUGUGUUUGGUGUUGCCCUCCAACAAAUCUACCUUGUAAAGACUAUCAACCCUCUGACAGACAGUGAAAGAACAGAAAGAGCAAAGAUGUUCUGUGACUUAUCAAAAGGAGACAUUCAUAAGAACCAACUAAAAAUGCUGGAGUCGUUAUGCACAUGUGAUGAAUUUAAGUUCCCACUACUGCAGAUGGGUGGCCAAAAAUCAGUCAGAGACCAACAUCUUGCAAUCUGGAUUCUUCACCUAACAUGCUCAGUGCUUGCCUUCAAUCCCACUGAAAACCAAAUAAGCAGCACUGCUCCUUUGUGGUUAAGACUUAUUAUGAAUCCAGAUCAAAUAACAACAUUGUACAUGCCAGGAGCAGGAUAUGAUGAGAACAGUUUGCAUAUGAGCAAAUUUGCAUGUAUGAAAGCCAAAUUGAAAGAAUGUCAUUUUAUAAGGUGUAAGUGUGGGAUGACCACUGUUCUUACCAAUGAAGAAGCCUCAGUCUGCCAUGGGUGCCAGGAGAGUUUUGAAUCCAGUAAGGAAAGCGUGGAGCUGUCAGGCAUUUCUCAGAUGUCCACAAGAAAGCAGGGAUACAUCUACACUGAUAGCAGUCAUAUGGGAAAUGUGUUUCUAUCUGUAGGCACCUUGUCACCUGCUGCAUUUCGACUUUUACAGAUUGCUAUUCAUGGGUGCCUUGCUGUGUCACAAGCUCUUGGCUUCAUUACCACUUCUGAUCUCUCUGUGAUAAUGAAAAUCCCUGAGGAGGUAGAUGUAGUGCAUUACAUCAACAAGCAUUUACAAUGUCACUGGGAUGCUCUCUCUGUUAUGGCAGAAAUGGGACAUGCACAACUUGGUAAGCUUUUGAACUUCACAGUGAAAGAAGGGAUGUCAUCUUGGGUUCAUGAUACAUCUCAAUUUUGUGUCCCCGAAGAAAGAGACAGUUUUGAAGAUAGCUUCAGUGAUUAUUUCAAUGAAAUUAUGGUCAGGAGGUUUGGCAUUAUAAAGGAAGAGGUAAUAUGUUUCCAAAAGAACAACCCACAUAGCUCUGCUUCAUCCUGGGAAAUGAUAUUUGCUGAGGCUUCUGAUGAAGACAAUAUGUGUGAAAGAUUGCCGAGGUUGAUGAGGGAAAAUAUGGCCCCCAGUAUGGAAAAUAUGGAAAAGGAAUAUGUCAUUCAGCAGAAAACUGACAAGUUUCCAAUUAUGGCUUUAGUAUUUGAAAAGAAGAAAGCACUGUCAUUGCUAAGACAUCUCAUUCCACUUAUACAGUGGCACAUGUGUACUAUUCGGCACUCAAGUAAUAACUCAAGAGUAGUGGAAUGCAAAACUGUUGAGGACUUUAUCCUUACUUGUCAAAAAGAAGUAGCAGCUUGUGAGAAGUCAGAUUUGAUGAAAACAUUUGAGACCUUCAAGCAAUCUUGGAAUCAACUGAGAGAAGAGAUUGUCUUAUUGAAACACUAUAAUGAAUUCAUAUCAGACAUACCUAGGGUGCACAUAAGAGGUCCUCUUGAAACAUGCAUAAUGAAAAGUUCCUCUGCACCAGUUAUGCAAGUGUUGAAGGCUUUGCAGUCUAUUCAGAACCAGUUUUUAACAGACUCUGUUAUAGUUACUUUAUCACUGAACAACUUGUCAACCAGUUUUCUGAAACUAAAUGAUGGGAUUGCAACUCUGCAUGGAACAGCUAUUGAAAAUGUUGCACCAAGACAUGUUGUUACCCUGCCAGAUUUACGUGACAUGCCAAAGUUUUCUCAGAUAAACACAGAAUUAGGGCAUGGUAGAGAAAGACAAUAUGAUAUGUAUCAAAUUGAACUUCAAGUUGUGGCAGAAUGCCUGGUGAAUAAGCCAUUAUUAUUAAUAGGACCUAAAUUUCCUAUGAUCCGUUUUUAUGGCGAAAUAUUACACAGGACUGACCAGCUUCUGGAAGAUAUCAUCAACAUUGUUGGCCAUGAAGAUAUUGACAAAGAUAUCAUUAAGUCUGUCAUUUCACUGAAAGAGAAGAAUCCAUCAAAUAUGCAAACACUGACUGACUACUUAGAAAUGACCUUCACUCUUCUCAAAAGAGCACCACUUUCUGGUCGCCAGAAACAGCAAACCCUAAAUGACUUUCUGAUGGCUUGGCAAUCUUUCUUCCCAAAUAGAGUUGCUGACAUAGAUGCCUUUUGUAAAAGAAUCCGUUUGACUCAGUUGAUAUCUCUCUAUGAAUAUGUUGAAGACCUAGUGGCUGAAGUAAUCAUUGACCGUUUAGAAGACACAUAUCGAGUCCAAAUGCCUGAAGAAUGUCAAUCACACAUGAACACUGUUCUCGGCAUCAUGAAUUUGAAGUUGCAAGAAGCCCUUCUGUCAGCUUUGAAGAAGACUGUCAUCAGGUAUAUCCGAUUUCAGUAUGCAAAAUCAACUGAUCCCUUGUCACCAUUACUUAUGGAAAACACCAUGUGGCCAGAGGGUGUUUUAGCAGAUGUAACAUCCAAAACUGACAACCUGGACGCUGGACUGCUUCAUCCCUGCCUUUGUGUGGAGAAUAUCUGUGAUGCCAUUGACUUCACAACACAGGCUGUUGAGGAACUAAAGAUGAAGGAUGGCAGAAACAGUUCCCAAUAUGCAGUAAUAAGCCAAAAGAAGUCAGGAACUGUACAACAGAGGAAGAAGAAUUUGGCAAAGAAAUUUAGAAAGCGCUAAUAUAUUUUGUGUCAGGUUGCUAUGGGACAUGAACCAGUAUCUUUCGACCAAGAUAACUGACAUAGGAACAGAUUCAAACUUUCAAGUGUGAAUGUCUUUCUCAUAAUAUGUGAUGUUUUGUAGAACUGUAAAUAUUCAGUGUGAAUUUGUAAAUGGGCACAUAUUGUUAAAAAACAAUAUGGCUUUGCAUAACUUUAUCAUUUGCUUUUAAUACAUAGCUUUUGUGUAUUGAAUCUUGUAUUGUUAGAAUGUUCACCCAAAAGGAUAGUAUCAACUUGUGUUACUAUGCCUAUAAACAUUUAAAUAUUACAAACCAUUGAAUAAGGUGAAAAUAUUUGUUGCCCUUAUCUCAUAAAACAUAUCCACAAAAUAACUCAUCUUUUCUUAGCAUGCAUUUUUUUGUUUUAUUUGAACUACAUCCCUGUAUUAUGGACUGUACACAUGCAGACAUGAUGUAAGCUUUUGUACAAUAACUCUCACUUAUACAUAUUAUUUUGUAAACAUAGACUGAUGGCAAGGACAAUUCAAUUUGUACAACAGACAGUGAAGGGACAUUUGUUAAAUUUAUGCAUUGAGACAUGAGUACACGUAAAUAUGGACAUGUGGAUGGAAUAAACUGUCAUGUACAUGUAUAUAGUGGAACAAACCAACUUUAAUUAAUACAUCCAAAAUAUUUCUUGUAUAUUCAUGCAUCAUUUUUGUGUGAUUGAGUAACACAGAACUGUUAAUAUGUCGACAUUGUAACAGCUGUUUAUACAAUUUGUGUUAUUUAUUUGGAGUUACUUGUAAAUAUGGACUGAUAAUUCAAUAUCUGUGAUACAUAUCCCACAAUCCAACACAAAAAACACCACAGUUAAUAAGGUUCCGUUGGAUAUCUGUAAAUAACAUAUAGGACUAUUGAUAGUGCUGGUAGUUUUGUACAGAUACUUUAGAAUUAUGCUUUGAGAUAUCUGAGUACAUGUUGUAAAUAUGGACGACAUUUGAAUGCUACAAACCAUUGUGAAUUAAGGGGCAAUAUAUGUUUAAUAACUCUCAUUUGUACAUAUUUGCUUGUAAACAUGGACUGAUGUCAAAGCUAUUUUAAUCAGUCAACAUUCAAGGAGCGUUUGUUAAGUUAAUGCUUUGAGAUGUCAUGUAAAUAUGGUCUGACAACUCAAUAUCACCUACAUUAUUUAUGUUUCCCAAAAAAGAAUAAUAAAACCGAACGUUAACCAGGUUCCCUGGGACAUCUCUAAAUAAAAUAUAUCACUUCUGAUGGUACUGGUAGUUUUGUACAGAUAAUGGCAAAGAAUGAUACUUUAGAAUAAUGCUUUGAGAUAUCUAAGUACAUGUUGUAAAUAUGGACAUUUGGAUGGUAUAAACUGUCAUGAAUAUAGUGGAACAAACCAACUUUAAUUAACACAUCCAAAAUAUUUCUUGUAUAAUGAUACAUCAUUUUUGUGUGAUUGAGUUACACAGAACUGUUAGACAUAAUAACAGCUGUUUAUACAAUUUAUCUUAUGUAUUUGGAAUUACGUGUAAAUAGGGACUGAUAAUUCAAUAUCUGCAAUUUUACUUACAUAUCCCACAAUCCAACCAAAAAACACCACCAAAAACACCACAGUGAUAAGGUUCCUUGGGAUAUCUGUAAAUAAAAUAUAGGACUAUUGAUAGUGCUGGUAGUUUUGUACAGAUAAUGGCAAAGAAUGAUACUUUAGAAUAAUGCUUUGAGAUAUCUAAGUACAUGUUGUAAAUAUGGACAUUUGGAUGGUAUAAACUGUCAUGAAUAUAGUGGAACAAACCAACUUUAAUUAACACAUCCAAAAUAUUUCUUGUAUAAUUAUACAUCAUUUUUGUGUGAUUGAGUAACACAGAACUGUUAAUAUGUCAACAUUGUAACAGCUGUUUAUACAAUUUGUGUUAUUUAUUUGGAGUUACUUGUAAAUAUGGACUGAUAAUUCAAUAUCUCCGAUAUUACUUAUGUAUCCCACAAUUCAACCACACAAAAAACGCCUGCAAAAAACACCACAGUUAAUAAGGUUCCGUGGGAUAUCUGUAAAUAAAAUAUAUGAUUUCUGAUGGCACUGGUAGUUUUGUACCGAUAAUGGCAAAGAAUGAUACUUUAGAAUUAUGCUUCGAGACAUCUGAGUACAUGUUGUAAAUAUGGACGACAUUUGAAUGCUACAAACCAUUGUGAAUUAAGGGGCAAUAUAUGUUUAAUAACUCUCAUUUGUACAUAUUUGCUUGUAAACAUGGACUGAUGUCAAAGAUAUUUUAAUCAGUCAACAUUCAAGGAGCGUUUGCUAAAUUAAUGCUCUGAGAUGUCUUGUAAAUAUGGUCUGACAACUCAAUACCACCUACAUUAUUUAUGUUUCCCAAAAAAGAAUAAUAAAACCCACAGUUAACCAGGUUCCUUGGGAUAUCUAUAAAUAAAAUAUAGGACUAUUGAUAGUGCUGGUAGUUUUGUACAGAUAAUGGCAAAGAAUGAUACUUUAGAAUAAUGCUUUGAGAUAUCUAAGUAUAUGUUGUAAAUAUGGACAUUUGGAUGGUAUAAACUGUCAUGAAUAUAGUGGAACAAACCAACUUUAAUUAACACAUCCAAAAUAUUUCUUGUAUAAUUAUACAUCAUUUUUGUGUGAUUGAGUAACACAGAACUGUUAAUAUGUCGACAUUGUAACAGCUGUUUAUACAAUUUGUGUUAUUUAUUUGGAGUUACUUGUAAAUAUGGACUGAUAAUUCAAUAUCUCUGAUAUUACUUAUGUAUCCCACAAUUCAACCACACAAAAAACGCCUGCAAAAAACACCACAGUAAAUAAGGUUCCCUGCCAUAUCUGUAAAUAAAAUAUAUGACUUCUGAUAGUACUGGUAGUUUUGUACCGAUAAUGGCAAAGAAUGAAACUUGAGAAUUAUGCUUCGUGAUAUCUGAGUACAUGUUGUAAAUAUGGACGACAUUUGAAUGCUACAAACCAUUGUGGAUUAAGUGGCAAUAUAUGUUUAAUAACUCUCAUUUGUACGUAUUUGCUUGUAAACAUGGACUGAUGUAAAAGAUAUUUUAAUCAGUCAACAUUCAAGGAGUGUUUGUUAAAUUAAUGCUUUGAGAUGUCUUGUAAAUAUGGUCUGACAACUCAAUAUCACCAACAUUAUUUAUGUUUCUCACAAAAGAAUGAUAAAACCCACAGUUAGCGAGGUCCCCUGGGACAUCUCUAAAUAAAAUAUAUGACUUCUGAUGGUACUGGUAGUUUUGUACAGAUAAUGGCAAAGAAUUAUACUUGAGAAUAAUGCUUUGAGAUAUCUGAGUACAUGUUGCAAAUAUGGACGACAUUUGAAUGCUACAAACCAUUGUGAAUUAAGUGGCAAUAUAUGUUUAAUAACUCUCAUUUGUACAUAUUUGCUUGUAAACAUGGACUGAUGUCAAAGAUAUUUCUAAUCAGUCAACAUUCAAGGAGUGUUUGUUAAAUUAAUGCUUUGAGAUGUCAUGUAAAUAUGGUCUGACAACUCAAUAUCACCUACAUUAUUUAUGUUUCCCACAAAAGAAUGAUAAAACCCACAGUUAACGAGGUUCCCUGGGACAUCUAUAAAUAAAAUAUAGGACUUUUGAUAGUGGUGGUAGUUUUGUACAGAUAAUGGCAAAGAAUGAUACUUUUGAAUAAUGCUUUGAGAUAUCUAAGUACAUAUUGUAAAUAUGGACAUUUGGAUGGUAUAAACUGUCAUGAAUAUAGUGGAACAAACCAACUUUAAUUAACACAUCCAAAAUAUUUCUUGUAUAAUGAUACAUCAUUUUUGUGCGAUUGAGUUACACAGAACUGUUAGACAUAAUAACAGCUGUUUAUACAAUUUAUCUUAUGUAUUUGGAAUUACGUGUAAAUAUGGACUGAUAAUUCAAUAUCUGCAAUUUUACUUACAUAUCCCACAAUCCAACCAAAAAACACCACCAAAAACACCACAGUGAUAAGGUUCCUUGGGAUAUCUGUAAACAAAAUAUAGGACUAUUGAUAGUGCUGGUAGUUUUGUACAGAUAAUGGCAAAGAAUGAUACUUUAGAAUAAUGCUUUGAGAUAUCUAAGUACAUGUUGUAAAUAUGGACGACAUAUGAAUGUUACAAACCAUUGUGAAUAUAGUGGCAAUAUAUGUAUAAUAACUCUCAUUUGUACAUAUUAGCUUGUAAACAUGGACUGAUGUCAAAGAUAUUUUAAUCAGUCAACAUUCAAGGAGUGUUUGUUAAAUUAAUGCUCUGAGAUGUCAUGUAAAUAUGGUCUGACAACUCAAUACCACCUACAUUAUUUAUGUUUCCCAAAAAAGAAUAAUAAAACCCACAGUUAACCAGGUUCCAUGGGACAUCUAUAAAUAAAAUAUAGGACUAUUGAUUGUGCUUGUAGUUUUGUACAGAUAAUGGCAAAGAAUGAUACUUUAGAAUAAUGCUUUGAGAUAUCUAAGUACAUGUUGUAAAUAUGGACAUUUGGAUGGUAUAAACUGUCAUGAAUAUAGUGGAACAAACCAACUUUAAUUAACACAUCCAAAAUAUUUCUUGUAUAAUUAUACAUCAUUUUUGUGUGAUUGAGUAACACAGAACUGUUAAUAUGUCGACAUUGUAACAGCUGUUUAUACAAUUUGUGUUAUUCAUUUGGAGUUACUUGUAAAUAUGGACUGAUAAUUCAAUAUCUCCGAUAUUACUUAUGUAUCCCACAAUUCAACCACACAAAAAACGCCUGCAAAAAACACCACAGUUAAUAAGGUUCCGUGGGAUAUCUGUAAAUAAAAUAUAUGAUUUCUGAUGGCACUGGUAAUUUUGUAUAGAUAAUGGCAAAGAAUGAUACUUUAGAAUAAUUCUUUGAGAUAUCUGAGCACAUGUUGUAAAUAUCGUCAUAUAGCUUGAAUAUUGCUGAGUGCGGCGUUAAACAACAAACCAACCAACCAAUGAUUGCAGUAUUCAUUUGUGUGAAUGGUGAAAUACUUGUAAAAUAAAUCCAUAUUCUUUGUAAUAUCAGAAAGGUUUUUGUAAGUAUAUGUCAAUGAACUUACUCAGAAUGCUUAUUUCAAAUCUACCAUUUAACAGAUUUUGUGUAUGUAUUAAAAUGUUUUUGUAUUACUGCUAAGAAGAAGGAAAAAAACUAUAAUUUAUUUAUGUUUAUACUUUUCAGGAGAUGUGUGAAGGAUAUACAUGUAUAUUAUAUCCUUCACACAUCCUAUAUAUAUAUAUAGAUAUUAUAGACACACGCACACAAUAGUGUCAGGUCAUGCCAUAUCUAUGCCAGUUUUCCUGACGGAUUAGUCGUUACAUGUUGUUUUAAGAUUAAGAUAUGUAUAAUGUGUAGGUAUUUGGUAUAUGAAGGAAUAAUGUGUUGCUUUGUUAAAAUAUACCCCAUAGAGGAUCUGUUGAGGAAUUUAGAAAGUGCAGUUCAAAGCAAACAGUAGAAAGAAUGUGUGUUUGAAUGUAAAUGAGAAGGUAGGAUGAGGGACAUUUUUUAACCAUGGAAUAUUCAUAAUUUAAAAAAAGAGAAAAAUCUUUUGAAAGUGUAAUGAAAAUUAUCCGAUGUCAUUCAUAUGAAUGAGAAUUAGAGUUUGUUCAUUUCAACAAUUGCAUGUUUCGGACAUAUGACAAGACUAAAUGCAUUGGUACAAGCUAAAAUGUGUCCAAAAGGAUGAUUUUAGAGGUUUUCAGGAAGUGUUUUUCUAAUAUCUAAACAUUACAAAGUCUUUGACCCAGCUUAUUUGUUUAUGAGAUGUAGAUAAAAACAGAACAAAUUUGAGGUAAAAAUUCAUCUUAAUGAAAUUAAAUUAUUGGAAUUUGCAUCAUGUUUGUUUAAGGUAGUUGCUUAUGCUAUGUUUUUGUUCAUACAGGGCUUAUGUUGUCAUAGUUGAUAUCUGAAAAGAAAUAGCAAUUGUUUAAGCUGGGUUUUUUAUCCUGUUUACUAAUUUGUAGUCAAUUUCAUAGGAAAUUUUAGGCAUAUAGCCUGCCCCGUAUCAUGAUUGUAUUUUGUGAGAAAGGUAUCUUACAUAACUGGUCUUUUCUAAAAGAUACAACAUAUGUUUUACGUGAGAUAAAACAUGUGAAUAAUAUAUAUCUUUGUUCUGUUAUACACAAGUUUUCUAUUUUUGAUUGACUUUGAUGUUUUGCUCAUCUGACUGAAAGUCAAGUGAGCAUAUGUCGUGGGUUGUUUGUCCAGUGACCAUCUUUUCCGAAAUCCCUGAUGAAGCUGCUUGUACUCAAUGAUGACACAAUCAAGAGGUUCUGAACUGAUUUUCAAUGUGGCUAACCUCAGCCAUAUUAAAAACAUGUUUGGUCCAGGCGAGUUACAGUACCAUGGCACUAUUAUAUAUGCAUUACUUUAAGUGAGAGUUGGUACUUUAUUUAUUAAUCAAGCUUGUAAGUAGACUUUCCAAUAUAGAUCUUUUGAAAUUAAGUUGAUUAAACACACACCUCCCCACACACCCCAAGAAUGAUAAAAAAAGUAAUCAACUGCAUGUAGUAGUAUUUAAUUCAUGUUAGAUCAAAUACCAAGGUUACAUUAUUUGAAGCUAACAGAAUUGUAAGGGCAAAAGGCUCUUUGUAUUCCACCUGUCCUGAGGUGUGCUGGCUCCAAAGAGGUGAUGACUAGUGCUUGUGUCAUUAUGCUGCUGCAUAUGUUGAACAGUGUGUCAAAUAAUAGAUUGUUAGAAAAGCUCAAUAUUUAUUACAGAAAGAUUAUAUUGAUGAUUUUAGUGGUGUUAUCCAAUCAUGUAUUCUAGUUGCUUAUGUAAUUAAUAAUGUUGAUAUUAAUAUUAAUUAACAGAGGUUGAAAUAUUUUCUAACCUAGCAUCAUUUGUCUUGAUUUUGGCCUAUCACUUGGGAGACGGGAAACAACCUACAAUUUCUUUCAUUUUAAUUUGAAAUUGAUGUGCAUCCUAAUAAAAACAAUGCAAAUUAAAUGUGAGAUGCAAAGUAGAGCAUCAAAUAAAGAAAAGACAUUUGUGAAGACCAGAGAAACUAUCCUGUUUCACCCUCUGCAAAGCUUUGAUUUGGGGUUUCUAUACGUUUUUGUGAAUUUGUUUUUUAUUUAAUAAACUGUAAAUCGAA